Molecule: ribosomal RNA, 484 nt
Filed under: uncultured bacterium
Lineage: Bacteria
Description: partial 16S ribosomal RNA
Rfam family: Bacterial small subunit ribosomal RNA
Source: RNAcentral
AUUGAACGCUGGCGGCAGGCCUAACACAUGCAAGUCGAGCGGAUGAAGGGAGCUUGCUCCUGGAUUCAGCGGCGGACGGGUGAGUAAUGCCUAGGAAUCUGCCGGGUAGUGGGGGAUAACGUCCGGAAACGGGCGCUAAUACCGCAUACGUCCUGAGGGAGAAAGUGGGGGAUCUUCGGACCUCACGCUAUCAGAUGAGCCUAGGUCGGAUUAGCUAGUUGGUGGGGUAAAUGCCUACCAAGGCGACGAUCCGUAACUGGUCUGAGAGGAUGAUCAGUCACACUGGAACUGAGACACGGUCCAGACUCCUACGGGAGGCAGCAGUGGGGAAUAUUGGACAAUGGGCGAAAGCAUGAUCCAGCCAUGCCGCGUGUGUGAAGAAGGUCUUCGGAUUGUAAAGCACUUUAAGUUGGGAGGAAGGGCAGUAAGUUAAUACCUUGCUGUUUUGACGUUACCAACAGAAUAAGCACCGGCUAACUUCGUG